RNAcentral lists this long non-coding RNA (203 nucleotides) under Homo sapiens (human). RNAcentral's name for it is "LHRI_LNC1661.1". Lineage: Eukaryota; Metazoa; Chordata; Mammalia; Primates; Hominidae. The record is from RNAcentral.
GGCCGGGCGCGGUGGCUCACGCCUGUAAUCCCAGCACUUUGGGAGGCCGAGGCGGGCGGAUCACGAGGUCAGGAGAUCGAGACCAUCCCGGCUAAAACGGUGAAACCCCGUCUCUACUAAAAAUACAAAAAAUUAGCCGGGCGUGGUGGCGGGCGCCUGUGGUCCCAGCUACUUGGGAGGCUGAGGCAGGAGAAUGGCGUGAA